RNAcentral lists this ribosomal RNA (256 nucleotides) under uncultured bacterium. RNAcentral's name for it is "partial 16S ribosomal RNA". It matches the Rfam family "Bacterial small subunit ribosomal RNA", at positions 29 to 280 of the family's 1533-position model. The record is from RNAcentral.
AGCGAACGCUGGCGGCGUGCUUAACACAUGCAAGUCGAGUGCGCGGUUCGUAGCAAUACGAACUGGCGCACGGCGCACGGGUGAGGAACACGUGGGCAACAUGCCCUCCGAUGGGGAAUAACCCGCCGAAAGCGGCUAAUACCGCAUACGAUUCCGGGGACCUCGGUUCCUGGACUGAAAGCCCGCAAGGGCGUCGGUGGAGUGGCCCGCGGCCGAUUAGCUUGUUGGCGGGGUAACGGCCCACCAAGGCAAUGAU